GUGCUCGCUUCGGCAGCACAUAUACUAAAAAUUGGAAUGAUACAGAGAAGAUUAGCAUGGCCUCUGUGCAAGGAUGACAUGCAAAUUCGUGAAGCAUUCCAUAUUUUU
Molecule: small nuclear RNA, 108 nt
Filed under: Vulpes vulpes (red fox)
Lineage: Eukaryota; Metazoa; Chordata; Mammalia; Carnivora; Canidae
Source: RNAcentral